RNAcentral lists this ribosomal RNA (484 nucleotides) under uncultured bacterium. Its description in RNAcentral is "partial 16S ribosomal RNA". It matches the Rfam family "Bacterial small subunit ribosomal RNA", at positions 30 to 507 of the family's 1533-position model. The record is from RNAcentral.
UUGCACGCUGGCGGCAGGCUUCACACAUGCAAGUCGAGCGGGGGAAGGUAGCUUGCUACCGGACCUAGCGGCGGACGGGUGAGUAAUGCUUAGGAAUCUGCCUAUUAGUGGGGGACAACAUCUCGAAAGGGAUGCUAAUACCGCAUACGUCCUACGGGAGAAAGCAGGGGAUCUUCGGACCUUGCGCUAAUAGAUGAGCCUAAGUCGGAUUAGCUAGUUGGUGGGGUAAAGGCCUACCAAGGCGACGAUCUGUAGCGGGUCUGAGAGGAUGAUCCGCCACACUGGGACUGAGACACGGCCCAGACUCCUACGGGAGGCAGCAGUGGGGAAUAUUGGACAAUGGGGGGAACCCUGAUCCAGCCAUGCCGCAUGUGUGAAGAAGGGCGUAUGGUUGUAAAGCACUUUAAGCGAGGAGGAGGCUACUUUAGUUAAUACCUAGAGAUAGUGGACGUUACUCGCAGAAUAAGCACCGGCUAACUCUGUG